GUAGGUGGCAAGCGUUGUCCGGAAUUAUUGGGCGUAAAGCGCGCGCAGGCGGUCCUUUAAGUCUGAUGUGAAAGCCCACGGCUCAACCGUGGAGGGUCAUUGGAAACUGGGGGACUUGAGUACAGAAGAGGAAAGCGGAAUUCCAAGUGUAGCGGUGAAAUGCGUAGAGAUUUGGAGGAACACCAGUGGCGAAGGCGGCUUUCUGGUCUGUAACUGACGCUGAGGCGCGAAAGCGUGGGGAGCAAACAGGGAUUAGAUACCCUGGUAGUCCACGCCGUAAACGAUGAGUGCUAAGUGUUAGGGGGUUUCCCGCCCCCUUAGUGCUGCAGCUAACGCAUUAAGCACUCCGCCUGGGGAGUACGGCCGCAAGGCUG
This 374-nucleotide ribosomal RNA is filed under the name uncultured organism. RNAcentral's name for it is "partial 16S ribosomal RNA". It matches the Rfam family "Bacterial small subunit ribosomal RNA", at positions 527 to 896 of the family's 1533-position model. The record is from RNAcentral.